AUGUCGACAACCUCCUUGCGGCUGCCUGCACUGUUUCUUGCACCAAUAGCGGUCGCCGUGGAGAGCGAGAGCCUCACCCUGAGGCCAGGAUGCCAUGCGAGCUGCGGUGGUGUCAAGGUCCCCUACCCUUUCGGCAUCGGCACAUACUGCUUCCGCCCAGGCUUUGAGAUCGCCUGCGUCAACAAGACGCCGGCUCUGACAGUCACCACCCAGGUGAUCCAGGUGCUAGAGCUUUCCGUCAUGCCACGCCCGGAAGCCCGGGUGAUGCUUCCUGUGGCGUGGCAGUGCUUCAACACCACCACCAACGACGUCAUUGAAAGCUUCGACGCCAGAUUGAACAUCAAUCCGUCUGGCGUGUACCGCAUCUCCAACACCGCAACGAACUCUUCGUCUUGGGCUGCAACACCAUCAUCUUCACCAACAGCGGGCCGCCCGCCGGCCGCUGCUCAUACCCCCACAGGUACUACACGGGAUGCGUCCCCUUCUGCAAUGACUCCCGGAGCGCGUGACGGCGCGUGCGCGGGCAUCGGCUGCUACCACGUCGACAUCUCACCGGGCCUCACCGAUAACUGGAUGAGGUUCUACUCCUUCACACACGUCGACAUCGAGUUCAGCCCCUGCGACUUUGCCUUCAUCGUGGAGAAGGGCUACUACAGCUUCCAGGAGGCUGACCUCCAUAUGGGCCCUGGCGCCAGCCACAGAAAGAUGCUGAUGCGGCUAGACUGGGCCAUCCGCGACAGCAACGUCAAGUCCACCGACUCCCUGACCUGCUCCCAGGCAGCCAACAAGCCAGGGUACACCUGCGUCAGUGACCACAGCAAGUGCGUCAAGUCCAUCAAUGGCCCCGGAUACUUCUGCAACUACAGCCAAGGCUAUCACUAG
Molecule: ribosomal RNA, 882 nt
Filed under: Triticum aestivum (bread wheat)
Lineage: Eukaryota; Viridiplantae; Streptophyta; Magnoliopsida; Poales; Poaceae
Description: partial small subunit ribosomal RNA
Source: RNAcentral